This 403-nucleotide ribosomal RNA is filed under the name Verrucomicrobiota bacterium. Its description in RNAcentral is "Verrucomicrobia bacterium partial 16S ribosomal RNA". It matches the Rfam family "Bacterial small subunit ribosomal RNA", at positions 355 to 776 of the family's 1533-position model. Lineage: Bacteria; Pseudomonadati; Verrucomicrobiota. The record is from RNAcentral.
UGGGGAAUAUUGCACAAUGGGGGAAACCCUGAUGCAGCGACGCCGCGUGAGCGAAGAAGGUUUUCGAAUCGUAAAGCUCUGUCCUAUGAGAAGAUAAUGACGGUAUCAUAGGAGGAAGCCCCGGCUAAAUACGUGCCAGCAGCCGCGGUAAUACGUAUGGGGCGAGCGUUGUCCGGAAUUAUUGGGCGUAAAGGGUACGUAGGCGGUCUAUUAAGUCAGGUGUGAAAGCGUGAGGCUUAACCUCAUUAAGCACUUGAAACUGAUAGACUUGAGUGAAGGAGAGGAAAGUGGAAUUCCUAGUGUAGCGGUGAAAUGCGUAGAUAUUAGGAGGAAUAACGGUGGCGAAGGCGACUUUCUGGACUUUUACUGACGCUCAGGUACGAAAGCGUGGGGAGCAAACAGG